GCCGCGCCCGGCGGGAGGUCGGGCGCGGGCGACUGACGGUCGUCGAUCGGGCGGUCGCCGAUCGCGUCGGCGGCGCCGCCCC
This 82-nucleotide transfer RNA is filed under the name Gemmatimonadetes bacterium T265. RNAcentral describes it as "tRNA-Val". Lineage: Bacteria; Pseudomonadati; Gemmatimonadota. The record is from RNAcentral.